This 318-nucleotide ribosomal RNA is filed under the name Dendronotus dalli. Its description in RNAcentral is "partial 16S ribosomal RNA". It matches the Rfam family "Archaeal large subunit ribosomal RNA", at positions 2000 to 2591 of the family's 2987-position model. Lineage: Eukaryota; Metazoa; Mollusca; Gastropoda; Nudibranchia; Dendronotidae. The record is from RNAcentral.
AUGAAUGGCCGCGGUACCCUGACCGUGCUAAGGUAGCGUAAUCAGUUGGCUUUUAAAUGGAGUCAGGAAUGAAUGGAAUAACCGGGUUUAGCUGUCUCCUUCCCAAUUAGUUGAAUUUACUGUUCAAGUGAAAAAGCUUGAAUAAAGAAAAGGGACGAGAAGACCCUUAGAAUUUUUUUUAGUGGGAAAUUUUUUCCUAAUGAUUUUGUUGGGGCGACAUGGAAAUAUAUAAAAACUUUCCUUUAAUACUUGCCGAUUUUGUUAAGAUGGAAUAAAUUACCUGAGGGAUAACAGCAUAAUUCUAUAGAUGAGUUUGUG